CCCUUAGAUGUUCUGGGCCGCACGCGCGCUACACUGACGAUGGCAACGAGUUUUUCCUUCGCCGAAAGGUGUGGGUAAUCUUUUGAAACAUCGUCGUGCUGGGGGUAGAUCAUUGCAAUUUCUGAUCUUGAACGAGGAAUUCCUAGUAAGCGCGAGUCAUCAGCUCGCGUUGAUUACGUCCCUGCCCUUUGUACACACCGCCCGUCGCUACUACCGAUUGAAUGGUUUAGUGAGGACUCCUGAUUGGCGCCGCCGCCCCGGCAACGGAGCAGCGGACUGCCGAAAAGUUGUUCAAACUUGAUCAUUUAGAGGAAGUAAAAGUCGUAACA
This 329-nucleotide ribosomal RNA is filed under the name uncultured eukaryote. RNAcentral's name for it is "partial 18S ribosomal RNA". It matches the Rfam family "Eukaryotic small subunit ribosomal RNA", at positions 1470 to 1796 of the family's 1831-position model. The record is from RNAcentral.